GAAUCACCCCAGCCCGAAAAGUGUUACUGGGCCGGAAACUUACUGCUUCAAGAAACGGCGCUACAUGGACACGACUCCAACGAGACAUGCCCGGCAGAAUCUGGAAGGCCUGGUGAAAAAAGUCUAGAGCCCACGGUUUCCGCGAUUCGUCAGAACAGCCCGCGUCAAAAAAGCCGAGACUCCUCCCCGGCGUAUAACGGCACAGAAGACCAUACACACCGAGAGCACGCGGACGAUUUCGGCGCACCGGACAUUCACAAUAAAACAACAAAACCGGAUGAUUUCACCGUUUUAAAUAACAUUUCAGAGGUAGACGACUUGAUAUUAUGUGAAGCGGCCAACCUUCUUGAUUCCUCCAAUUCUUUUGUAGAAACACCCAAACCUGAAAUAGAACAAGCUAGGUUUCUCACAGCCUUUUCUUGGCCUCUAAAAUCCAGAAAGGUUUUGCUACACAAACAAAUGGUGGCUUUACUCGAGCGGCAAUACAGUCAGGAUCUAUCCUUCUGGCAUAGAACAAUGCCACGUUUGUUAAACAACAAACCGAUUAAAAAAUGCAAAUACAUGUAACAUGGAUCCUUCCAGAAUACCACAAGAACACACAUCAUUAAUUACCCAAAUGGAUGAGCCAACAGACAUAAUUGAGACAGUUGAAACCCUGUUAUCCCAGAUACCGCACGAACUCCAAGCUUUAAUUCACCAGAUGAAUGAGGCUGGGGUAACAGACAUAAUUCCGAUAGAUGAAAGCCUAUUAUCCCAGAUUCCCGCCGAACUCAUCAAAUUAAUUAAUCAUAUGAGUGAGUCCGGGAUGACCGAUGAAAACCUGUUAUCCCAGAUUCCUGACGCCCUCAUAUCGUUAAUUAACCAGAUGAAUGAGAGCAUAAGAUCUUAUACACUGGAUCCCACACCGGCCCGCCAUUAACUCCCAUGUCCGAAGAGUCUGAAAUGCAAUACGAUGUUUUGAGGAAUUGGACAAUUGUCUAAUAAAUCAGGAGGGAGAUGGUCUUGAUAGAAGUGUCCGGGUUGUAUACCGAAAUAAAUUCAGCAAUACAGAGAUUCGACAGUUUUUCAAUUUCACAUAGAUGAAUCAGAAUCUUGACUAUGCGGUGUUUUAUGUGAUGAUAUUGGAUACUCUGAACGACCUGUUAGACAGGGCAAGAGAUUAUGGCGAACCUCGUGAUGUCAUAUAGUUGGACAUUUGUGGAGCUAGCAUGCAAAACACUUUAUCUCUUAUUUUACCCAAUGAUGAAGCAGAUCUUGAACAAUUUAUAGCCCUGCUGGAACGACUUGUUCAAUCAAAUAUAUCUGUCAUAGCCGAUAGGACCCUCGAGCUUGUGGUGCAAAUAAUACGUCAACCCCUGGGUGGUGGGGGGGCAGAGAAGGAAACUAGAUAGCCUAAUGCAAUCAGAAAUCAUAAACAAUAGAAGGGCAUACCUCAUAAACGUUCACAAUCCCGGUAAUAAGCUAUGCUUUGCAAUAGGCCUAGCACAUUUACUCAACGACGGCUCUAGCAGCGUUACAAAAGGCUAGAGAGCUCCAAAUGGCCGUGGGUCUAGGUAUACAGGAUGCGGUGGCAUUCUCUGACAUAGUCAAAUUUGAAAACUUUCUGAACAUCAAGAUUGUGGUUUUGUACCACAGUAGAGCUAAUGCAGCUCUCUUGAAAUUCCAAAACAACCCACAACCUCAUCCUCAGAUUCUGUACUUAUAUGUGCAAAACGACCAUUAUUAUGCUAUUACCAA
Molecule: long non-coding RNA, 1737 nt
Organism: Salmo salar (Atlantic salmon)
Lineage: Eukaryota; Metazoa; Chordata; Actinopteri; Salmoniformes; Salmonidae
Source: RefSeq, a predicted model, not a curated record